RNAcentral lists this non-coding RNA (29 nucleotides) under Mus musculus (house mouse). The record is from RNAcentral. Lineage: Eukaryota; Metazoa; Chordata; Mammalia; Rodentia; Muridae.
UACAGUAAGGAUUGUAGUGACAACUCAGU